CCUACGGGAGGCAGCAGUGGGGAAUAUUGGGCAAUGGGCGCAAGCCUGACCCAGCAACGCCGCGUGAAGGAAGAAGGCUCUCGGGUUGUAAACUUCUUUUUAGAGGGAAGAGCAGAAGACGGUACCUCUUGAAUAAGCCAUGGCUAACUACGUGCCAUCAGCCGCGGUAAUACGUGGGUCGCAAGCGUUGUCCGGAUUUACUGGGUGUAAAGGGCGUGUAGCCGGGCUGAAAAGGCAGAUGUGAAAUUCCGGGGCUCAACCCCGGACGUGCAUUUGAAACUGUUGGUCUUGAGUAUCGGGGAGGCAGGCAGAAUUCCUAGUGUAGCGGUGAAAUGCGUAGAUAUUAGGAGGAACACCAGUGGCGAAGGCGGCCUGCUGGACGACAACUGACGGUGAGGCGCGAAAGCGUGGGGAGCAAACAGGAUUAGAUACCCGAGUAGUC
This 442-nucleotide ribosomal RNA is filed under the name uncultured bacterium. RNAcentral's name for it is "partial 16S ribosomal RNA". It matches the Rfam family "Bacterial small subunit ribosomal RNA", at positions 338 to 795 of the family's 1533-position model. The record is from RNAcentral.